This 497-nucleotide ribosomal RNA is filed under the name uncultured bacterium. Its description in RNAcentral is "partial 16S ribosomal RNA". It matches the Rfam family "Bacterial small subunit ribosomal RNA", at positions 28 to 507 of the family's 1533-position model. The record is from RNAcentral.
GAUGAACGCUGGCGGCGUGCCUAAUACAUGCAAGUCGAGCGAACAGACGAGGAGCUUGCUCCUCUGACGUUAGUGGCGGACGGGUGAGUAACACGUGGAUAACCUACCUAUAAGACUGGGAUAACUUCGGGAAACCGGAGCUAAUACCGGAUAACAUGUUGAACCGCAUGGUUUAACAGUGAAAGACGGUCUUGCUGUCACUUAUAGAUGGAUCCGCGCCGCAUUAGCUAGUUGGUAAGGUAACGGCUUACCAAGGCAACGAUGCGUAGCCGACCUGAGAGGGUGAUCGGCCACACUGGAACUGAGACACGGUCCAGACUCCUACGGGAGGCAGCAGUAGGGAAUCUUCCGCAAUGGGCGAAAGCCUGACGGAGCAACGCCGCGUGAGUGAAGAAGGUCUUCGGAUCGUAAAACUCUGUUAUUAGGGAAGAACAAAUGUGUAAGUAACUAUGCACGUCUUGACGGUACCUAAUCAGAAAGCCACGGCUAACUACGUG